This is a long non-coding RNA of Pygoscelis adeliae (Adelie penguin), 2359 nucleotides long. RefSeq lists it as uncharacterized. NCBI's taxonomy places the organism in Eukaryota, Metazoa, Chordata, Aves, Sphenisciformes, Spheniscidae. The record is from RefSeq and is a predicted model, not a curated record. The transcript has 2 exons.
UAAGGAAGAAGAAUCACACUCCUUUAAUCUGAAAUACACUUCGUAACUCUAAACAUACAUCCUAAAAACUGCUUCUACGGUUUUCUCAUUUUUUUUGCUUCAUCAUACAAAACAAGUGUGCACAAAUUGAAAUUACCCUCAGGAUGAAAUGCACUGCAAGUAUACACAUAGUGAGUGAUUUAACAUAUAUCUUCUCAUUUAUCUUCAUCGUUGUGGAAAUCCAACGAUUUGGAUUUCCAAAUCUAACCCUUUUUAAAGAGCUUGGCGUGCCCAGCUAGAGCAUAUAGGGUGUAAGCUUAAUCCCCAUGCUCUUCGGUUGUACGGUCUACAGUUACAAGCUUUCGGGCUGAAUGCCUCUUAAAGAAGAUGGAUGCUUCUUCACCGUUUUCAUGACUGCUAAGUCCGUAGACGUUACAACUAGAGUAUCGGUAUUAAACGAAACAGUACUUUGGACUGCAGGACAGUGCAGGUACCAGAGUAGAUCGUCCACUGUGACAUACAGGUGUAUGGUACAUACAUUAUAAUACUAGCAUCCAUGUUUAAAAAUGUUUUGUCCUAUCUUUUCCUAUAUCGGUGCUCGGAGCGAAGUUUCACGUUUCAGUUUACAAGAUAUAGGUUUGCACACACAAACUCAGGGUUUACAGUUUCACCCGGUGUACUUGAAAGGAAAAAAAAUGCCUAGAAAACAAAGUGCCCAGGGUUUCAACAUGUAUUUGUUGGAGGAAAAUUUUGCAGGGUUUUUUUUAACUGCCUGUGGAGACGAAAGCAAUGAAAUGAGGCAAUACCAACAGCUAUUUAUUUUCUCAGGGGAGAUUUCUUCAGUGGAAUGUGUCAAUUCUAAUGUCAAACAGUGUUUGCUUAAUUUUGUGUUACUAAAGAGACUCCGCGUUUGCAUCAAGGGGUCAGUUUUGCAAGCAGCUGAGCUUCGCAGACCCAGUCCAGCAAAGCCUUCAUAUGCAUCUUUAACAUCAAAUAUCUAAGCGGAUUCCUGGGGACUUCAGCGGAAGCGCAGUCUCUUUUUUUCUUUUUUUUUUUACCCAUCAACACAACGCUUUGCUGAACUUGGCCCAGAGCGCUGAGUGCCUUGCAGACCCGAGUCUCAGGUUCUUCACUUUAUAUGUAUAAAACCGGAGCUCUGGGCUUGAGUCUAGCCAGACGCAGCAGAUAGCGCCAUGAAAGGUCACCAGAAAAAAAUCCGGUAGUAUGGUGCUCCUCCACGUAUACCCAGUGGUGAACUUCUCCAGCUGAUGGGGUGGUGUGUAACCACAUAUCUUGGAUUAGAGUCAAGCCCUCCGUGUCAGGGUUCACAAGCUGCUAGUAUUAUAUGUUUCACGGUGCAGUCAUAGUACGUUACAGCUGAAAUUCACCCCGUGUGCAAAGCAGGGCAAAAUCCUGUGCACCACUCGAGUUCCCCCCAGCCCUGCCGUCGGGGUUCGGGGUCUGCAACAGCCGGCCAGCCACUUCCACGCGUUUUAGGUCAGGAUCCAAUUAAAAGUUUGAGCGGGACUGGAGUGAUGCACGAAUUUUGUUCUGGUCUUUUGCAGCAGGGUUGGUUUCACUCAGUUAAAUUUAAUCCUUGGUGAAUCACUUGAUGAAUGAUUUAAAAUGUAUUUAUGGGUUGUGUGGGUUUUGUUUUGUUUUUUUUUCUUGUCCUUAUUCAAAGCUGCCUUUACUCUCUAGUGUUGAUGGCCAAAGUGUCAUUCCUUAUGCUUACAAAUUACCAUUAACUUGUGGCUACCUGAGAACACAUACACUACUUUAAAAAUGCUUGUGGUUUUUUUUCCCCUUUUUCUGUUUUUUUUCCUUCUUUGUUUUGCUCUUUUCUUUUUCCCCCCUUUUUUAAGGGGGUGGGUUAUCAGUGUAAAGAUAUUUAAAAGUGCAAGUGUGAAGUAAGGAUAAUGAUUGUUAAGAGGAUGUGGGUGAUAUGUCUGAUGACAGAGCGGUGGGCUAUAAGGCAAAGGGGAAAAUGCCGUGAACGCAUUGUGUUGAUGAUUGUUGCCUGUGGGGGGAAAAAAUAAAAAAAAGAAGAUAUGUAACUGGAGAAAAAUGGACUCUCUGAGCUGCUCUCAACGUAGACGACACUGUGGCAAGUGCGUAGCCGAAGCCCGAAGUGGUCCCGCUGCAGGAUGCCGUGAGCCUGGGAUUGAAGGACAGCAGAGUCGCUCUGAGAAUUGCACUAGCAGCGUGUUGCACGUCGGGAACGCUCCAGUACGUCACGACCACGUGAGAACGGACUGUCUGAAACCGCUGAGUACCAAAGUUUGUAACUGAAUGAGUUAGCAUUUGUAUUAUGUUGGGGGUUUUUUUUUGAAUGUUAUGAUAAAUAAAAUGUAUUUUUCAGUAAAAGACACACUGCAAG